This 468-nucleotide ribosomal RNA is filed under the name uncultured bacterium. Its description in RNAcentral is "partial 16S ribosomal RNA". It matches the Rfam family "Bacterial small subunit ribosomal RNA", at positions 28 to 507 of the family's 1533-position model. The record is from RNAcentral.
GACGAACGCUGGCGGCGUGCUUAACACAUGCAAGUCGAACGGAAAGGCCCUGCUUUUGUGGGGUGCUCGAGUGGCGAACGGGUGAGUAACCCGUGAGUAACCUGCCCUUGACUUUGGGAUAACUUCAGGAAACUGGGGCUAAUACCGGAUAGGAGCUCCUGCUGCAUGGUGGGGGUUGGACCGUUUCGGCGGUUGGGGAUGGACUCGCGGCUUAUCAGCUUGUUGGUGGGGUAGUGGCUUACCAAGGCUUUGACGGGUAGCCGGCCUGAGAGGGUGACCGGCCACAUUGGGACUGAGAUACGGCCCAGACUCCUACGGGAGGCAGCAGUGGGGAAUAUUGCACAAUGGGCGGAAGCCUGAUGCAGCAACGCCGCGUGCGGGAUGACGGCCUUCGGGUUGUAAACCGCUUUCGCCUGUGACGAAGCGUGAGUGACGGUAAUGGGUAAAGAAGCACCGGCUAACUACGUG